Molecule: ribosomal RNA, 377 nt
Filed under: uncultured bacterium
Lineage: Bacteria
Description: bacterial SSU rRNA
Rfam family: Bacterial small subunit ribosomal RNA
Source: RNAcentral
AAACGUAGGAGGCGAGCGUUAUCCGGAUUUAUUGGGCGUAAAGGGCAAGUAGGCGGUAGGCAAAGUUGGUUGUGACAUCUCCUGGCUCAACUGGGAGGGUGCGGCCAAAACUAGCAUACUAGAGGGCAGAAGAGGGAAGUGGAAUUCCUGGUGUAGCGGUGGAAUGCUCAGAUACCAGGAGGAACACCAGUGGCGAAGGCGGCUUCCUGGUCUGCACCUGACGCUGAGAGGCGAAAGCUAGGGGAGCGAACGGGCUUAGAUACCCCGGUAGUCCUAGCCGUAAACGUUGGAUACUGGGUAUUUGGGAGGUAAGACUUCUGAGUGCCGAAGCAAACGCGUUAAGUAUCCCGCCUGGGGACUACGGCCGCAAGGUUAAA